RNAcentral lists this ribosomal RNA (498 nucleotides) under uncultured bacterium. RNAcentral's name for it is "partial 16S ribosomal RNA". It matches the Rfam family "Bacterial small subunit ribosomal RNA", at positions 899 to 1397 of the family's 1533-position model. The record is from RNAcentral.
ACUCAAAUGAAUUGACGGGGGUCCGCACAAGCGGUGGAACAUGUGGUUUAAUUCGACACUACGCGAGGAACCUUACCUGGGUUUGACAUGUACCUGCAAUCGGUGGAGACACUGAGUUCUGUAGAAAUACAGACGAGUACACAGGUGCUGCAUGGCUGUCGUCAGCUCGUGUCGUGAGAUGUUGGGUUAAGUCCUUUAACGAGCGCAACCCCUGUCGUUAGUUGCUAGUUUAUUCAGCACUCUAACGAGACUGCCUGGGAAACCAGGAGGAAGGUGGGGAUGACGUCAAGUCCGCAUGGCCUUUAUGCCCAGGGCGACACACGUGUUACAAUGGCGAGUACAGAGGGGAGCAAAGCAGUGAUGUGGAGCAAAUCCCAGAAAGCUCGUCUAAGUUCGGAUUGAAGUCUGCAACUCGACUUCAUGAAGUUGAAAUCGCUAGUAAUCGCGUAUCAGAACGACGCGGUGAAUACGUUCUCGGACCUUGUACACACCGCCCGU